CGCGUUAGUAAGAGAGAUAAGACUUUGUUUUUCAACUCAACUUCAAUGUUAUUACGAAUAAAUAUAUUCUUAGUAAAACCGCAAAACCAAGUCAGUUCGCAAAACCCUCAGCCUGAAGCUAUUAGGUCAACUACAAUAUUGCAAAGAGGCGGAGGUGCCAAGAAAGUACCAGACUAACAAAACCCACAACCGUCCACAUCACGACAAAACGAUGGAUACAACGACGACGAGUUAGCUAAAUUGUUCGCAAAGUAUCAGUAUCAGUUCGAUAAACAGAGUUUAAAAGAAUAUAAAAAAUCACAGCGUAAAUAAAACAAAACUUCAUCAAAAGGCAGUGAAUUUGUGUAAUGCAGCAGAAACUAUUGAAAUUCUUGGGCACUUUUUAGGAUUUUGACAAAUAUUUAGUUCAACAGCAGAAAACUUGUUUACAGUUAUUCGAAAUCAUCUAGAACCUUUAAAUUAGACUUAAAAAACAUUCGUGGCCAGAGCUAUGACAAUGGAGCCAACAUGAGAGGAAAGCACAAAGGGUUACAAAGAAAAAUUUCAGAUAAAAAUCCUAGGCCGUUUUAGUGCCAUGCGCUGCACACAGUUUCAAUUUGGUUGUAAAUGAUGCAGCUAAUAUAAAUAUUGAAACAGUCAAUUUUUUCAGUUGUGUACAAGAACUUUACACAUUUUUUUCAUCAUCGACACAACGUUGGAAUAUAUUAAAAAAUUCUCAAUUCAUUUAACAUUAAAACUAGUUUUGGUAAGAUAUUCAAUUUUAUAAAUUAUAAAUUUUAUCAAUGACAUUUUUAAAUUUAAAGAUAAGAUCCCUUCAUCGCCAGGGAAAUUAUCUUCAACGCCAGGAAGAUUAUCUGCACCCCAUGUUGGAGCACCUGCUGAUAUUGUGGAUCUUAGGAAAAACGAUUACGCAACUACUCGACUAACAACGAUGAGGAGCAAUUGAUUGAAGGAACAAUGCAUUAUCCUUUACUCUAAGGGCGAGCGGAGGCUGUGGAUGAUGACGCGGUAUCGUGACUUCCAGAAUGAACAAAUACUGUGCAAGUGGUGCGCCAGGCAAGAGAGAAAGGUGCACGACGGAAAUUUUGCACCGAGCCAAUCUCAACUGCCCGAGGAGGUACCACCUGGGAAGACAGAAGGUGCGGUAUUACUCGGCAAGACGAGUUACAAUCUUCAUGGAGUCAGACGACGAUCGGAUGUCCAAAGCAGAA
Tribolium castaneum (red flour beetle) is the source of this 1211-nucleotide long non-coding RNA. RefSeq lists it as uncharacterized. The transcript is spliced from 5 exons. The record is from RefSeq and is a predicted model, not a curated record. NCBI's taxonomy places the organism in Eukaryota, Metazoa, Arthropoda, Insecta, Coleoptera, Tenebrionidae.